This is a long non-coding RNA of Sapajus apella (tufted capuchin), 154 nucleotides long. RefSeq lists it as uncharacterized. NCBI's taxonomy places the organism in Eukaryota, Metazoa, Chordata, Mammalia, Primates, Cebidae. The record is from RefSeq and is a predicted model, not a curated record. The transcript has 2 exons.
CAUGGUGAAACCCGUCUCUGCUAAAAAUACAAAAAUUAGCUGGCCGUGGUGGUGUGCGCCUGUAGUCCCAGCUAAUAGGAAGACUGAGUCACGAGAAUUGCUCAAGCUUCGAAGGCAGAGGUUGCAGUGAGCUAAGAUCAUACCACUGCACUCU